Long non-coding RNA from Armigeres subalbatus, 677 nucleotides. RefSeq lists it as uncharacterized. The record is from RefSeq and is a predicted model, not a curated record. NCBI's taxonomy places the organism in Eukaryota, Metazoa, Arthropoda, Insecta, Diptera, Culicidae. The transcript is spliced from 3 exons.
UCAAGUUGUAGGGUGUACACACUUAAAUCGAGAAUUUCAGCUCGGUAAUAUUUUUUACUGAUUUUAUUCGGUAAAAGAAGAAUUGAACCGAGAGCUCAGUUGAUUUCAAAGAUUUAACUGAUCUCUGUAAUAAUUUUCACCGAUGUUUCAGUUGUAAAAAAUAAAAUACAGAGUUUCGGUAGAUUGAAUUACCGAUCAACUCUGUUCUAAGUAAAUGUCCUGCACUUGUCAAAACAUUAACCGAUCACUCAGUAAAAAUAAAUUCACUUUACUGAACACCUGGUAAAACAAGUACCGAGUUAUCAGUUCUCGACCAGGUACCGCAUGUUUCGACGCCAUAUUUAUUUGCGAGUCAGAACGAGUUUGUUUCAGUCGAGAUUAAUGCUACCGGUGGAAAUUUUGCUUUAUUGGAUAUUCAGGACAAAUAUGAAAAAAAUGUAUCAUCAGCUGGCACAGUCCCUACUGCUAUCUCCAACAUGCGUUGUGCCGAUUUUAUGGAACUCGAUCUAUAAUAAGACAUCAGAUAUAAUAAAACGAAUGAGGUUCCCUGCGUCCAUCUUGGUGAUAGCUUCCUGGGCGAUAAUGGAAUUGCGCUAGUGCUACAGCAAUGAGACAGCAGCAAACAUAUUUUGUACAAAGUUUUCUGACUCUAAAAAACAAUAAUAAAUAUAAAAGCC